RNAcentral lists this small RNA (319 nucleotides) under Pan troglodytes (chimpanzee). RNAcentral describes it as "processed transcript". Lineage: Eukaryota; Metazoa; Chordata; Mammalia; Primates; Hominidae. The record is from RNAcentral.
GCCCAGGCCACAUCUCAAACCCAGUCACUGUGCUUCCAGCUUCUGCUCUCCUUCCACUGGCCAUCCUUGAAGAGGUUGUCACAGCCACCUGAUGGAAACUUCUUGAUGUAAUUGGGUUUCUGCCUGAACAGCUGGUCUAUGAGGCUUCCAGGGAUUCCAUCAACAUAAGAGUUCCGCUGAUUUUUUGGAAAUGGGUCACUGUAGAAAUUAAUCAAGUGGUAGUGAGGACCUUGAUAAUUGGAGUGGAUUCUGGGAUUCCCAAAGAUGUGACUUCCUGGCCUUAAGUUGGAGCUAUAUACAAUUCCAUGAAUGAAACAGC